Molecule: ribosomal RNA, 527 nt
Filed under: uncultured bacterium
Lineage: Bacteria
Description: bacterial SSU rRNA
Rfam family: Bacterial small subunit ribosomal RNA
Source: RNAcentral
AAUAGAUACCCGGGUAGUCCACGCCGUAAACGAUGUCGACUUGGAGGUUGUUCCCUUGAGGAGUGGCUUCCGGAGCUAACGCGUUAAGUCGACCGCCUGGGGAGUACGGCCGCAAGGUUAAAACUCAAAUGAAUUGACGGGGGCCCGCACAAGCGGUGGAGCAUGUGGUUUAAUUCGAUGCAACGCGAAGAACCUUACCUACUCUUGACAUCCAGAGAACUUAGCAGAGAUGCUUUGGUGCCUUCGGGAACUCUGAGACAGGUGCUGCAUGGCUGUCGUCAGCUCGUGUUGUGAAAUGUUGGGUUAAGUCCCGCAACGAGCGCAACCCUUAUCCUUUGUUGCCAGCGGUCCGGCCGGGAACUCAAAGGAGACUGCCAGUGAUAAACUGGAGGAAGGUGGGGAUGACGUCAAGUCAUCAUGGCCCUUACGAGUAGGGCUACACACGUGCUACAAUGGCGCAUACAAGGAGAAGCGACCUCGCGAGAGCAAGCGGACCUCAUAAAGUGCGUCGUAGUCCGGAUUGGAGU